This 443-nucleotide ribosomal RNA is filed under the name uncultured bacterium. RNAcentral describes it as "partial 16S ribosomal RNA". It matches the Rfam family "Bacterial small subunit ribosomal RNA", at positions 338 to 795 of the family's 1533-position model. The record is from RNAcentral.
UCUACGGGAGGCAGCAGUGGGGAAUAUUGGGCAAUGGGCGCAAGCCUGACCCAGCAACGCCGCGUGAAGGAAGAAGGCUUUCGGGUUGUAAACUUCUUUUCUCGGGGACGAAGCAAGUGACGGUACCUGAGGAAUAAGCCACGGCUAACUACGUGACAGCAACCGCGGUAAUACGUGGGUGGCAAGCGUUAUCCGGAUUUCCUGGGUGUAAAGGGCGUGUAGGCGGGACUGCAAGUCAGAUGUGAAAACCAUGGGCUUAACCUGUGGCCUGCAUUUGAAAAUGUAGUGCUUGAGUACUGGAGAGGGAGAUGGAAGUACUGGUGUAGCGGUGAAAUGCGUAGAUAUUAGGAGGAACACCAGUGGCGAAGGCGGUCUGCUGGACCGAAACUGACGCUGAGGCGCGAAAGCGUGGGGAGCAAACAGGAUUAGAUACCCGAGUAGUC